Molecule: unclassified non-coding RNA, 5088 nt
Filed under: Nilaparvata lugens (brown planthopper)
Lineage: Eukaryota; Metazoa; Arthropoda; Insecta; Hemiptera; Delphacidae
Description: sodium- and chloride-dependent glycine transporter 1, transcript variant X1
Source: RNAcentral
CACUGGUCUUUUGCGGCACCCCCUCCACCCGCCACCUAUCCUAUCCACAUGCAUCGCUGUCGUUCGCCUCCUAAUCUCAAAAAAUCAGUCGCUCAUUGGACAGCUUCGUAGCUAGUCGCUUAUCACGGAGAGCGUCCGCGAAUGUUUUGUACAAUUUGUUUCAAACAAUAGAUUGUAAACAACGCUGCCGUUUGAUGAAAGUUUAGUUGGUAGAAUCAAAUCAGGACGCGUUUAGUGAGUGAGUUCUGUUGGAUUUUAGCUUCGACGUGUUCGUUCAUGUGGCUGUUGUGUGUGUUUGCCGUUCUUUGUCCUGGCACCAGCUGAUAAGUUCCACAGCCGCUCCUGCUAUGUUGAUUAACCUGUUUCUACCCUGCUGACAGGAUGGACAGAAAUCUAGUGGACCUGAUAGACCUGGGAGAGCCGCCUCCUCUGACGGCACUCGGCGACGAUGUCAACCUUAUCGACGCCAUCCUCACGGGGAUGCUGGAGUGCGCCUCUCCCUCCUCCCCGUCGCCGGGAGGAGGAGUUGAGGAGGUGACCUUCCGAGAGGAGGAGGAUGACAGCAUCCAGGAGCUGGUGGACCAAAGUAUGCAGACUGACAUCACCUACGCCCUUGACGAAACAGACUGUCCAGAUUUCGAGUCCUGUUUACAGGACACCUCAUUGCCCGGAUUCGAAGAUAACUUUUUGUCGCUGCCCAUAGAGUUGCCUUCUGAUCUUGAUGUGCAUGAUUGCGCCAUCGGUAUAAGUGCAUCGUGUCAGGAAGGCCGUAAUGACGUCACAGCCGCAGUGACAAACGACGAGCCGCCGGGGGCGGUGGGAGGCGUGCACAGGCGCAGUGCGAGCAUGGAGGCGGCAGUGGGGGUGGCAGAAAGCGCCUCCAGAAGACGGUCUUCCAGUGCGAGCGCGACCGCCGUGAUGAGCGAUGCAGCGGCCAAGUGCAGUCCGAGUGCAUCUUCGCAGGAUGCGGCUGCAGUGUUGGAUGCAGCUGCGGUGCCCGAUGCAGUUCGCAGCUCUAGUCCGACCGCCGAUUGGCUGCGUGUGUCGAUGCGACGCGUCCGUCAUUUUCGGCUGCUGGAUCCUCACCAGCCGUCUGCGCCGCCGAUGGACUGUGAGUCUGUGGAAGACGUGCGCCCCUCGUCGGCGCCUAUGGACCGGCCACGCCAGGUGGGCCGAGCCGCGCUGCGCCGUCCCCAUAACAGCGCCAACUCGACGCCCCAGCAUCGGCCGGCCCACCAGGCGCCCGCCAUCCACAUCACUCCUUCGUCGCCCGAGGUGAACCAUCAGCACAACUGGCAACAGCACCACCUCAGCUCCGACACCAGCGACACCGAGAGUCUGCCGCCUCCCGCCGCUACCCCGCCACUCUCUGCACACCACAGCACUGUCAGGUCGUACGAGAUGCCGCAAGAUGCUUCGAGUCCGCUGGGUCAGUGGUCGCACGGUCUCAGUCCGGUGCUGGCCUGCCUUGGCUGUACGCUCGGACUCUUCAACAUCUCCAGAUUUGCCAUCUAUAGUAUGCAGUAUGGAGCUAAUUACAUAAUCCAAUUUAUUGUGAUGUCUCUGCUACUGGGAAUUCCUCUAUUCACUUUCCACUUAUCGUUAGGUCAGCUGUUAGCUUCAGGGACAAUGGAUAUGUGGAAAAUUUCUCCUAUAUUCCAGGGAAUUGGAAUAGCUAUUCUCACAUCACACGCUUUGAUAGGUAUUUAUAGUAUUAUUGGAGUCUCGUGGAUGUUCGUUUACUUCCGUGAUUCGUUCAUCACAAAACAAGACAUGUAUGGAUGGGCCGAGCCUCAUGUCUAUUACAAAGAUAGUUUUCGUCCAAUAAUUUUCAACUCAACAAACAUAAAGUUGGAAGAGACAGUUCCAGAUUAUUUCAAUGGGGUUGUGCUUCAAAGACAGAACUUGGAAACUCCAGCUGGCUCGCCGGGCCACUUGAAGUUCCAAGUCACCUUCAACUUAGUUGUUAUAUGGAUGAUUAUUUUCAUCUGCUUGAGCAAAGGUUUAAAAUCCUACGGGAAAGUAGUCUACAUUUUCUCCUUAGUUCCGGUCUUCGGAAUGUUCGUAUUAUGUUCGAAAUUAUUAGGGCUGAUGCCAAUCAAUAGGUUAGAAAUAGCGUUUCCUCAGACAGACUGGAGUGAAUUUUUCCUAAAUACGAAGAGCUGGAUGGCAGCGAGCAGCGAGGCUUUCUUCACAUGGGGCGUGCUGGGAGCGGCAGCCAUGCAGAUCACGUCGCACAACCGCCCCAAGCACCUGCUGCAUCGGGACACCGCCCUCGUCAUAGUGCUCACCCUGGCCGUGCUCCUCCUCGCCGCCUUCCUCGCCAACAUGUGUUCGCAGCUCCUGUUCGUGCGCGGCUUCCUAUAUGUUCCUAGUUCUUUCGAACGCAUGUCAACUUACGGCUUCCUGCAGCCGAUCAAACCGCAGCCUCCACACUCGAGCAUCCCGGUGCGGUGGAUGACGCACGUGCCUUUCCUGGUGGGCGACCGCGUGCUCAAGCACGGCUCCUAUCAGAGCGGCUACCAGGUGCUGCGACUGGCCACCGAACUCGUGCCCGCUACGCUCGCCGUCGUCGGCCCCCACCGCCUCUCGCCCUUCUGGUCCGUCCUCUUCUACUUCGUGCUCAUACUAUUCGGCAUCGCUCAACAGUUGGCGAUAUGGCAUUGCCUCAUCACUGGUAUUAUGGCGAUCAAUGUGAAAUAUUUAAAACUAUGGGAAACGACAAUCACAUUCUUCACAUGUCUUUGUGGUUUCAUUCUUGGUCUUCCAAUGGCAACUGAGUUGGGCAUAUUCGUGGUGUACUUCAUUGACUACGUGGUGGGUGGUGGCUGGUGGAUGAUGCUGCUCUACGUGGUGGAGCUGACGGCGGUGUUCAUGGUGCGCGGUCGCCCAUACAGUGGCGAGACCAUCGUGGCGACGCUAUUCUCCCGCGCCGGCUCAUUCAUGCAGUGCUGGGUGGCGCCACUUCUCGCUUUCACCUGGAACGUCAUUCUUCCAACACUGCUCUUGGUGAUGUGCAUAACGUUCUUCAAGAAUGGCCAGUUUCGUUACUUUUUCAAGUGGUCGAUACCAAAUACAUACGAGUAUUGGCCGGACUGGGCUAGACAACUGGGGGCCAUGUUUCAAAUAAUUCCAUUAUUCACCAUACCCUUCAUCGCCAUCAUUCAAGCAUGCAGAUAUUUAUCAACAGGUCCUCCAGACAUUUUUGAUCGAAUCCAACUGCUGUAUCGUCCUCAGCUGCAUACGGGGUCCGACUUCCGUGAUGUGGAGAUUUCGGCGCCGCAGCCCACCUCUGAUCCGGAUUCGGCCAAUCAGAACGCAGACGCCAUCCAGGAUCCACCACCAAAGUACACUCCACCUCCCUCUUAUUCUACUGCCACUGGUGCUAGAAUCGCCAAGCUGUUCCGACAGAGCUUUCGUAGAAGCAUGCGCCGGAUACAACACGCAUUCAACAGCAACGAAGAGACAAGUUCGCCCUCCACUCUGGACAGGGUACAGGUGCAGUCAGUGCCUCCCCCUCCCGAAUACUCGGCCGUGCUAGUCGAGAUCAACAGGAGCAGCUCAGCCGGAGGAGGAGGAGGGGGUGCCUCCUCAGAAACAGCACCUCCUCAAAUGGCUAGUAGUGAGAUGACCGCCUGUGAGGUGGCGACCAUUUUGAGGAGUAGCUUCAGGCGAGCCGUGAGGGACAGCGCGAGCUCUGAGCAACUGGUUGAUGCCGCUCUGCCCAUCAGUAGGGAUCUGGUGAUCGCUGGUGCCCCACAUAAACCAAACAACCAACCAUGAGUGUUUGUCGGUCCACAUAAACCCAACAACCAACCAUGAGUGUUUGUCGGUUCACAUAAACCCAACAACCAACCAUGAGUGUUUGUCGGUCCACAUAAACCUAACUAGCAACCAUGAGUGGUGAGCCACUGCCCCUAGACCAUUAAUAAGUUGACUUGUAAUUUCACUUGACAUGCCGACCUUCAUAAUAAUAUUGAUAUACCACAGUGUACUAUACUGAUAGUUUUAAAUUACAAAUUGCCUUAAAUUUUUCAACCACGUCUUGAAGUCUCUGAGAGGUUGUGUAAGACAGUACGGUUUACAAUAUUAUCAUUAUACAUUCGCAUAAAUACAGACUGACACAGAUAAAACCUGAAACAGGGUUUCCUUGCGACAACCUGUACAAUAGUCAAAGUCAUCACAAACCUAGCGACGCGUAGCUAAAAAUACGUCUUUGGGUAACGUAGCCGUCCUCUCUCCCAAUACAACACAGAAGUACUCUAUUUUCAAUAAUCCACGCCACGCAAUCUGUCCCGUUGACACCAGCGUAGCGUAGCUUUCAACAUUAUUUGGAGAUAGGACGGAUACGACUUUCGAAGACUUAAUAUCUUCAUACAUGUAGCUAGUUGUAUGGCGACCUUUAUCACUGUUUAAUUGAGUUUUAAUCUGAAAGAAACUCUUGUAUACUCAACUAUAAAAGUUUCCAUCAAUUGGGCUUUUAUUUUUCAUGGUAACUGUUUAGGAUAAAUGUUCAAAUAAUUCGAUAUUACACCUCUAUUUUCAAUAAUCAAGCACAAUAUAAAACCGUACUCUCUCUAAAGGGCUUUGUUAAGUUAUGUGGUCCAAUCUGUGUAAGUUCUGCCUCAUUUAAAGUCAGCCCUUGUAAAUAAAAUGCAACUAAUCAACUUGAAUAAAUGGUUAUAUAGUUAGAGACCAAAUAUAAAGAGGUUGGUCAGUUCAAAACGUCUGUGAUACAGUCAUGUUUGGAUGCUAUGCUAUGUGUGAAAGGUAAUAUUAGCUUAUCAAAUUUAUUAUAUGAACUCUCAAAAAUUCCGGUUUGUGUUGACUAGUGGAGAAAAUGCCUGAUAAGUUAUUUUUACUAUUUACAUUUUAAACUACUUUUAAAGACCGAGAACCAAUAUUAUUAUUUUAGUUCUGCAUGGAUCUUUUCCAUCUUCUUAAACAGUCCUUCUUUACUUUAGUUUUCUAGAGUAAUAUGCCCCAUUAUCAUAAACUGUAUGUUCUCUGUAAACAAGAAAUAUUAAUUUAUGAGAACUAGUUUGUUUGGACACUUUUACCAACAAUGGACGCAAAGCUGUGGAGAUG